UUUAAAAUUUUUGCUUUCAGCAAUUUUCCAUUUUUUUCAACAUACUUAUAUCGCAAUGAGGCAACCAAAUAUGAAUCCUGAGAAUGAAGAUGGAAAAUGAAUAUUUUAAUCCAAUAUCGAGUUGUUCUUUCAACAUUUUUAGUUUUAGUUUUAAUCGAAAAUAUAAAGUUACAUAAUUGUGUGAGGAAUAAUUUUUGCAGAGAAAUUUUUAAAAAUUCACAAAAGGAAAAAGAAACCUUUACCAUGAGUCUAUAACAUUGAAAGACUGUGUUUAAGUUAUUUUAAUAAAGCCAAACCAACACUUUCAGCAGGAACUAAAUGGCAGCAUCUGAUUUCACGCUGAUACAUAUGUAUUAGUGUGGUGCUCACUUUUACCCUUCAUUUUACCUUGGGUCUUGCCAUUUUCUUUCUUUUUAUUUUUAUGUUUUUUUGUGUUUUGUUUUCUUUUGGAAGAGGUAAUUUUUAGGGAGAAAAAAAACACUUUUUCCUCAUAGGUCGAUUUAAAAUGUUGGCCUUACCUUAAUCUCCUCUCUCAAACUCAAUCCACUAUGUAAUGGGUCAACAUACUUUUCUGUGAAGGAGCAGAUAGUAAAUAUUUUAGUCUUUGCAGGCCAUAUGGUCUCUGUUGCCAGCUCUUCCAUUGUGGUGUGAAAGCAGCCAUAGACAACACAGAAAUGAAUAAGUGUAACUGUUCCAAUAAAAACAGAUGAUAUGUUGAAUUUAGCUCACAGAGUUUAGCUUGCUGCCCCUGCAGGAGGCCUUUGGAGUAAAAGCUUCCUGAGAGGAGGACUUUUUGUCUUUUUUGCUCAAGUUCUAGCUCCAGUACCUAAAAUAGUGCCUGUCACGUAGGUAUUGAUGAAUAUUGGAACCUGUUGAACAUACACCUAAAAUAAAACAUUUGGCAAGAUACAGUACUACACAAUUUGGAGAACACUUGGCUCCCAUAGAAAUCAAAGCCUUCCUGAGUAAUUAAUUAUUUGGCCUGAUGAUGAAUUACUGUGCCUGAGAUGAUAGAGCUAAUUUAUUUUUCAAUUCACUCAGGGGACACACGUUAUUUUCACUGUGAAUUUGGUUAAAAUGAAAAGAUUUCCUGCUCUAAGUCCUGGAUAGACCUUUAUGUAAUAGCAUACUCUUCACUCUUUUUGAAUCGCAUGCAGUUGUCAGACUGGAUGAUUUCCAGACAGAGGUUCCAAGUCUUUCAUCAUGUUUGGGUUAAAGACCUCAUUAACAUACUAGUCCUGCCAUUUGAGUCUGUUCUCUUCACGGAAUAUUUUCACCUGAAUCAGUGGGUAUAAUUCAUCAGUGUCUGGUUGCUUCAAGUUAUUUUUCUUAAUGCUGAUGUUAAUGCAUGCCCAUCUUUAUGCCUCAACACAUUGCACAAUGAAAAACAAAAAUUAUUUUGGAAGACACAGCUGACAUCUAUAUGAAAUAUUCAGUAUCAGUGAUUGAACUUCAGCAAGCUCCUGUGGCCAGCAGGGUUUUACGGAGGUGCAACUGCUCUCCCACGAUCACUUAUCAUAAAGCCAGAGACAAUUGGGCCAAUGUAGCCUCUUGCCUGCUUUUGUGUACAAAAUAUAAAUAGAAUAGAGCAAAUAAGGAAAAAUAGUCCCGCAGCUGGAAGGCAACUUUAAAGAAAAAUGAUGUUCAUAGCUGUCUUGCCAGUAGCUGGCAAAGCAGUUUUUAUAAGACAUAUUUAAUGUUUACAACCACUUGGAGGCUGGGGAAGGAGUAAUACUUUGAAAAUAUGUUUAAUGUUGUGAACCACUCUGUGGCCGAGAAGCAACUCCGGCUAAAAUAUAUUUAAUGCUUAGAGUCAUUUGGCGGUUUCGAAAAAAAGAAACUUCUUGUUAAUUUUUAACAUUUAUUGCUGAUCAGUGGCUGCUAAAGUAACUAUCAGUACAGCAUGAUUUAUAUUUAGGGACACGCUGUGCUGCUACUAAAACAAUUCAUACUCUUCUCUCAAGGCUACACAAAAAGUGUCAAUAGCAUUACCUUUGCAAUUGCACCACUAAUAAAAACAUAGGAAUCAAACAGACGAAUAAAAUGCUCCCUGCCCACACAGCCAUAACAUCCUAUGGCCCUGAAAAUAGUUCUGCCAAGCUGCGUGCAGUGGACACUUCACGGCUGGCACAGGAGAGAUCACAAGGCCUUGCUCAAUUUCAUCAAAAGUGUUAAAGCGACUCAGCAGAUUGUGAAGCACAAGUGGAAGCUGAUAAUUGGUGUUUCUUACAAAUCAACGGCUUGUCUCCACACAUCAAGGUGAGAAAAUCAAUGUAAAAGAGGAGAAAUAACCCACACAACCACAUACAACUAGGAAAUGAUAGAUGGAUCUGAAAAAAAGGAUAUGCACUCUUAACAAGUUCAACACCCAAGUACUAUUGCAAGUACCAGCUGUAUUUCAUGGAAAAAAAAAAAAGAAUAACUCAAAAGGCAGAACGAAGAGCCUAGAGGUCAGAGAUGAGAGGCAUGAAUAAUUAUUCACAGGCGUUGAAUAUAAUCAAAUGACUUGCAACAUUUACCACUGGGAUUUUAAAAUGUGGUGGACCAAUCAUUCUUUUAGUCUGUGCAUUUUCCCAUUUUUUUCAACAGGAAUGUCUAGAGACAUUAUUCCUGUUUUGCCACUGUAUUUUUGGUGAAUGUGUAGUAAGUAACUGGCCUCUUUAGUAUCACAAAGCUGGAUGAAGAAAAUGUGGUACAUAUACACCAUGAAAUACUAUGCCGCCACAAAAAGGAAAUGAGAUCAUGUCCUCUGCAGGGACAUGGAUGAAGCUGGAAGCCAUUAUCCUUAGCAAAGUAACGCAGGAACAGAAAACCAAACACCACAUGUUGUCUCUUAGAAGUGGGAGCUGAACGUACCUAAUUCUUGCAAUUCAGUGUAUUUCCUGGCGAGAGGCAGAGAUGAACAACCCUGGACAGUUACCACAUAUGGCUCUUAUGAGGUAAUGAGGAUGGUUGUGAUGAGAAGGGUAAAAAAUAAAAAAGUUAUUACAAAACAUUUUUCAAGGAAUUUUCCAAAAAAUGAUUUUAAUAUUCUCUUUGCUUAUGGAAUGAUAUUUAAAACCAUGAUUUCUGUGUCCUUUAAAAUGACUUCUGAUUUGUGAAUUGUUCUCUGUGCUCCAAACUUCUUUUAUUUGUCCCUGUGUUUAUGCUCAUAACCAUUCAUUUCCCUCUUUUCCCACUGACUUAGCCUCUGGGGUUGUAAAGAAGUUACUCGUUUAUUUUUGUGUAUGUGUGGGGUUUUGUCUUUUGUUUUCUGAGAAUAAAGUAUAUGAGAUCAUGGAAAAAAUCAGAAAACGAGGAAAAUCAUAAAUUCAUUACCAAAAUAAUUUCUGAUUUGGUAUUAUAGCUCUGCAAAUUACUUCACUAAUUGUGUUCAUAGGUACUAUGGUACACUGUACACUGUUUUGUAACUUGCUUUUUAGAUGGAUUAUAUCAUAUUUUUCUGUAUCAAUAAAUAUGAAUUCAUUACAUCAGUUUAAACUGAUCAAAAACAUUUUAAUCAAAGUAAUACAAUUAAAUUGCUAAAUAUCAUAGGGAAUCGAAGAGUUUAUAAUCCCAAACCAUACUCUUUCUUUUCCUAGCCAGCUGGGGACAUUUUUAAUUGUUUCUAUUUUCAUUCUUUCUGUUUCAGUUCUUAUAAAAAUACAUAUAUAAAAUUGGCUAAAUGAUUAAAUGUUAUAGUAGUUCUUUAAUUAUAAAUUUGAAUAAUAUUUGUUGACUUCCAAACUGCAUACCCCUUGCCUUGUCCAAGUAAAACUGUACCAUCGUUUAUUCUCUGUGUUGUCAAUAAAACACUAAGUGAUAUCUGAGUUUCUAAAUUUCAGUUCACUCAUAGAAUGUAUCCUUUUUUUUCUUCUUGCCUCCAACAUUUUAUUAUGAAAUUUUCAAAUUCAUGAUAAAAGUAUAUAGUAUUCAUCUGUAUACUUACCUCCUAGUCUAUAUAUUUUUUACAUACUGUUUAUAAUUGUUUUAUUAUUUUCUACCCAUUUGUCUAUCUGUUAACCCAGCUUAAUUUUUGAUGCAUUUAAAAGUAGGUUGUAGAUACAAAUAACCAUCACCCUAACACCCUUCAAUACAAUGUUUACAGUUGUUUUUUUGACAUUGGAAUGUAUCUGUGGUUUCUCUAUUUCAUAGGAUCAUAGCAUUAACACCUUUACACUUCCCCUUACAUCUCCUUCCAUUUCUUCUCCCCGUCCGCCACCAGCUUCCAUCAUCUGUAUUAUACAGAAUCUGUCCUAAAAAAUUCUGAAGUAGGCCUUAGGUUUUUUUUGUUUUUUUAAAGGGUCUUGUUCUGUGGCCCAAGCUACAGUGCAGUGGCACAAUCUCAGCUCACUGCAGCCUCUGCCUCCUGGGCUCAAGUAAUCCUCCUGAAUAGCAGGGAUUACAGGCACAGACUACCAUGCUUAGCUAAUUUUUCUAUUUUUUUAUUUGUAGAGAUGGGGUUUCAUCAUAUUACCCAGGCUGGUCUCAAACUUCUGGGCUCAAGCAAUCUACCUGCCUAUGCCUCUGAAUGUGCUGGGAUUACAGGUGUGAGACACCCUGUGUGGCCAGGCCUCUUUUUAAAAAUAAGCCUGAUAGUUAAUUUUAUAUGUCAAUUUGACUGAGCCAUAAGUUGCCCAGAGAUUUUGUCAAGCAUUAUCCUGGGUGUGCCUCUGUGGGUGUUUCUGAAUGAGAUUAGUAUUUAAAUCAGUAGACUGAAUAAAAUAGAUUGCCUUCCCUAAUGUGGAUGGGCCUCAUUCAAUAGCUGUGGGAAUGAAUAGAUCAAAAGGGCAAACCCCUCCGUGAGUGACAGAGAUCUCUUCCUGCCUGACUGCCUUCAAGCUGAGACACUGGAAUUUUUUUUCUGCCUUUUGACUUCAAUUAAAACAUUGGCUUUUCCUGGGUCUUGAGCCUGCCCGUCUUUAGACUAGAACUAGAAGCUAUCCUGGGUCUACAGUUUGCCAACUGCAUACCUUUGGACUAGUCAGCCUUUAUAAUUGUGUGAGCCAAUUCCUUAUAACAAAUCUUUAUAUAUCGAUAUAUAGAGAUAUAUAUUGAUAUAUAUAUAUAUACCUAUAUAGAGAGAUAUAUCUAUAUAUCUAUAUAGAUAUCUAUACCUAUAUAGAGAGAUAUGUCUAUAUCCAUAUAUAGAUAUAUAGAGAUCCAUAUAUAUCCUCUAUAUAUGGAUACAUCUAUAUAUAGAGAGAUCUCUCUAAAUAUCUCUAUAUCUAUAACUAUAUCUACAUCUACAUCUAUAGCUAUAUCAACAUCCAAUUUGUUCUUUUUCUCUGAGAACACCUACUGAUAAAUAAGUUUCUAAGUUUUGUCUAUCAGUUGAUGCUAAAACAUUAAAAAAAGAGAACAACUAAUACUCUUUUUACACUAAUUAGAACAAUGUAAGCCUUUUUGUUUUAUUACCAAAUAAUUUGUAUUUCCUAUGUAAUUGCUGCAGUUUUAUUUUGCAUAUAGAUUUUUUUUCCGUAACAUCUUUGUCUGUUAGUGGUUUUAUUUAUGAAUAAAUAAAUCCUUAGAUUCAUCCCACUUCUGAGGUCAGACAUCAAAUCUUUUCACUACAUGCCUCUCUUUGGGAGGUUUCUUUCUUGCUAAUCCAAACAAGAACAUCUGCACAAUUGUCAACCUGGAAUUUACUUUAUUAAUCUCCUGGUUUGGAAACACUUUUUCUUGGAUGUUAUAUUUACUUUAGUUUACUAUUUUGUUGGCUUGCACUAAUUUUAUAUGAUUUCUUAAUAAUGAGUGUAUGUUAGACAUUUUACUUGAGUCUUUUCAUAUCACGGUAUGCCUUUAUUUUACCCUCAUAUAUAAUUAAUUUUCAUCUGGGCAUAUAUUUCCAGAUUAGAAAUCAUUUCUUUUCAUACAUUUUAAGGAAUUUAUACAUUUGCAUCUGAAAUUGUAUUCAUUAUCUUCUAGAAACCAAGAGUGGACUUGGUAUCCGUCUGAUUAUAUUUUCUUUGUUGGUAAAGAGCCUCUUUUUUCCCUUUUUAUUUUCAUCUUCUCUUUCUCUAGUGUUUAUAAUCUUAUUUUUAUGAAUGUAGUCUAAUUAUUUAGAACACUGUCUCCGAGUAUGUGUUUAUUUGGGUUUGUGUUUUGAACAUUGCCUCCAGGUGCGAGUUUAUGUGUGUUUAUGUUUCCUAUUUGAGGUUGGACACUUAGAAAAUUUUCUCAAUUCGAAAACUAUUUUCCUUCAGCACUCAGAAAUUUUUAUCAAAGAUUAUUUCCACGAUUAUUUCCUGUCCUUGGUUUUUCGUGUUCUUAACCUAGAAUUCAAUUGUUUAAUGUUAGACCUUACACAUCUUCAAUGUAUCAUAUAUAUUUCACUCAUAUUAUUUAUUGUCAUAUCUUUUGGACUAUUGUGUGAAAGCAAUAAAUGUAUAUUACUUUA
Long non-coding RNA from Homo sapiens (human), 6379 nucleotides. RefSeq lists it as uncharacterized. The record is from RefSeq and is a predicted model, not a curated record. The transcript has 3 exons. Lineage: Eukaryota; Metazoa; Chordata; Mammalia; Primates; Hominidae.